Molecule: unclassified non-coding RNA, 727 nt
Filed under: Hevea brasiliensis (rubber tree)
Lineage: Eukaryota; Viridiplantae; Streptophyta; Magnoliopsida; Malpighiales; Euphorbiaceae
Source: RNAcentral
GCCCAGACACAAUGAACCUACAAGGACAAAGGUCAGAGGUCUUUUUAGUCAUAAUGAAGUGCAAGUAUUUAAAUAAAAGGAGCUCAUGGACAAAAGGCAUGUUUCAUUCAAGAAAAAACAAAAGUACAAGCAAAAUAAAAUUUGAGUUGCAAAUUUCCCAGGGAAUGCCAUUAACUGCUUCAAUUAAAUGUAUACUGGUAUAUGGGGGCACUGGGGACACUUUCAGAAUGAUCAAUUCAGGAAAAUGAAUGUACAUGAAAUUGCUUAUUGCCAAAUGUUCAUGGCACAUUCAUCAAACACAAAACAAAUAAAAUAAUGAUCGACUUUACAGGAGAGACAGAGAGAGAGAAGGCAUCAAAGGAAUAGGAAUUAACGUGGAUCUGGUUUCCCAAAGAGCGUCACAGUUUGCAGUAAUCAUUCCAUGAGAUUUUCCAAAAAUUUGUUGUUCGGGUCUCGGGUGGCUUCAUCUUCUCCAGCUAAGAAGCUUCAAAUGAAAGGAAAAUCGAGAGAAUACAAUGAUAAUGCCAUAUGAAUAAAUGAUUAAACAAAUGAUGAUGCGCAGCCUAGGAAAAGAGCUGCUACAAACAGCCCUGCUGCAUCAGACCUUGGUCCUUAUACUUGAGAGGCUCAUAAUAUGGAUGACUAUGCAUUUUUAGCUGUCUUUUAUAAUUGAUGCUACAACAGAGGGAUAUGUUAGUCUUUUAGAACUGAAUCAACUGAUUAUCAU